GGGGCUGAUUCUGGAUUCGACGGGAUUUGCGAAACCCAAGGUGCAUGCCGAGGGGCGGUUGGCCUCGUAAAAAGCCGCAAAAAAUAGUCGUUAGGACGGGGAUCAAGAGAGGUCAAACCCAAAAGAGAUCGCGUGGAAGCCCUGCCUGGGGUUGAAGCGUUAAAACUUAAUCAGGCUAGUUUGUUAGUGGCGUGUCCGUCCGCAGCUGGCAAGCGAAUGUAAAGACUGACUAAGCAUGUAGUACCGAGGAUGUAGGAAUUUCGGACGCGGGUUCAACUCCCGCCAGCUCCACCA
Molecule: transfer-messenger RNA, 294 nt
Filed under: Escherichia coli
Lineage: Bacteria; Pseudomonadati; Pseudomonadota; Gammaproteobacteria; Enterobacterales; Enterobacteriaceae
Rfam family: transfer-messenger RNA
About the family: Bacterial tmRNA, also known as 10Sa RNA or SsrA, is named for its dual tRNA and mRNA-like properties. Its role is to liberate the mRNA from a stalled ribosome.
Source: RNAcentral